Hippopotamus amphibius kiboko is the source of this 131-nucleotide small nucleolar RNA. RefSeq annotates it as small nucleolar RNA SNORA38. The transcript has a single exon. NCBI's taxonomy places the organism in Eukaryota, Metazoa, Chordata, Mammalia, Artiodactyla, Hippopotamidae. The record is from RefSeq and is a predicted model, not a curated record.
CCCUCCUGCAAAGUCUUGUCUGUGGUUUCCUGUCUUUGGACAUGUAAGAAUUGGAGGCAAAGAAAUGUGGGCUUAAAGAAGUCUGGGGCCAGCCUGCUCCCUGAAGGCUCAAGAUCAACCAUCCCACAUAG